GAUGAACGCUGGCGAAAUGCUUUACACAUGCAAGUCGAGCGCGCCCUUCGGGGUGAGCGGCGGACGGGUUAGUAACGCGUGGGAACGUGCCCUUUGGUACGGAAUAGCCUCUGGAAACGGAGAGUAAUACCGUAUGAGCCCUUCGGGGAAGAUUAUCGCCAAAGGAUCGGCCCGCGUUAGAUUAGGUAGUUGGUGGGUAAUGCCUACCAAGCCUACGAUCUAUAGCUGGUUUUAGAGGAUGAUCAGCAACACUGGGACUGAGACACGGCCCAGACUCCUACGGGAGGCAGCAGUGGGGAAUCUUGGACAAGUGGGGGCAACCCUGAUCCAGCCAUGCCGCGUGAGUGAUGAAGGCCUUAGGGUCGU
Molecule: ribosomal RNA, 366 nt
Filed under: uncultured Alphaproteobacteria bacterium
Lineage: Bacteria; Pseudomonadati; Pseudomonadota; Alphaproteobacteria
Description: bacterial SSU rRNA
Rfam family: Bacterial small subunit ribosomal RNA
Source: RNAcentral